CAGGAUGGUGCCAAGGUGCAGGGGGGGUGACGCCUCUGUCCCCCCCCCCAAGCCGAGCACCGAGCCCUCUGCCCCCACGGGACCGGCCAGACCACGGGGCCCCAGGGCUCAGCAGCAGAUGUGGACGAGUGCCGGGUGUUCGCGCCGCAGCUGUGCCGGGGGGGGGUCUGCAUCAACGCCGCCCCCGGCUUCAGCUGCUACUGCCCCAGCGGCUACUACUACGAGCAGGAGCACCUGCAGUGCGUGGGUGAGCACCCAGCACCCCCAGCACCCCCCCAGCACCCCCCCAGCACCCCCAGCACCCUGACCUCAGCACCCUAAUUGUGCCCUGGGUGCACCCUGCCUGCACCCUGAGCACCCUGAGCACCCUAAUUGUGCCCUGAGUGCACCCUGAGCACCCUCUUUGCACCCUGAGCACCCGACUUGUGCCCUGACUGCACCCUGAGUGCGCCCUACCUGCACCCUGAGCACCCUGACUGCACCCUCAGCACCCUAAUUGUGCCCUGAGUGCACCCUGGCUGCACCCUGAGCACCCUACUUGCACCCUGGCUGCACCCUGAG
Non-coding RNA from Anas platyrhynchos (mallard), 561 nucleotides. Lineage: Eukaryota; Metazoa; Chordata; Aves; Anseriformes; Anatidae. The record is from RefSeq and is a predicted model, not a curated record.